RNAcentral lists this ribosomal RNA (745 nucleotides) under uncultured bacterium. RNAcentral describes it as "bacterial SSU rRNA". It matches the Rfam family "Bacterial small subunit ribosomal RNA", at positions 33 to 773 of the family's 1533-position model. The record is from RNAcentral.
ACGCUGGCGGCAGGCCUAACACAUGCAAGUCGAGCGGUAGAGAGAAGCUUGCUUCUCUUGAGAGCGGCGGACGGGUGAGUAAUGCCUAGGAAUCUGCCUGGUAGUGGGGGAUAACGUCCGGAAACGGACGCUAAUACCGCAUACGUCCUACGGGAGAAAGCAGGGGACCUUCGGGCCUUGCGCUAUCAGAUGAGCCUAGGUCGGAUUAGCUAGUUGGUGGGGUAAUGGCUCACCAAGGCGACGAUCCGUAACUGGUCUGAGAGGAUGAUCAGUCACACUGGAACUGAGACACGGUCCAGACUCCUACGGGAGGCAGCAGUGGGGAAUAUUGGACAAUGGGCGAAAGCCUGAUCCAGCCAUGCCGCGUGUGUGAAGAAGGUCUUCGGAUUGUAAAGCACUUUAAGUUGGGAGGAAGGGCAGUAAAUUAAUACUUUGCUGUUUUGACGUUACCGACAGAAUAAGCACCGGCUAACUCUGUGCCAGCAGCCGCGGUAAUACAGAGGGUGCAAGCGUUAAUCGGAAUUACUGGGCGUGAAGCGCGCGUAGGUGGUUCGUUAAGUUGGAUGUGAAAUCCCCGGGCUCAACCUGGGAACUGCAUUCAAAACUGACGAGCUAGAGUAUGGUAGAGGGUGGUGGAAUUUCCUGUGUAGCGGUGAAAUGCGUAGAUAUAGGAAGGAACACCAGUGGCGAAGGCGACCACCUGGACUGAUACUGACACUGAGGUGCGAAAGCGUGGGGAGCAAAC